This is a long non-coding RNA of Solanum dulcamara, 257 nucleotides long. RefSeq lists it as uncharacterized. NCBI's taxonomy places the organism in Eukaryota, Viridiplantae, Streptophyta, Magnoliopsida, Solanales, Solanaceae. The record is from RefSeq and is a predicted model, not a curated record. The transcript is spliced from 3 exons.
GGUGUUCGCUUUGAUAUUUUUGAUGUUUUUAUUUUCUAGACACUCCGACAAAAUCAAGAUGUCAUGGUUGAAAAACAAGUUCUACUUUAAAUGCAAGUUAGCAAUGUGGCAGACAAAGAGUCGAAUCGAGAUGGUAAAAGAGAAUAGGAAGACAAAGAAGAAAUAUUUGGAGAUUGACAUAGAGGACCUCCUAAAAAGUGAAUUGGAUGUCAACACCUGUGACAUGGCAGAUUAAUAGAUUUGAAGAACGUGGAUGC